This 72-nucleotide transfer RNA is filed under the name Loxodonta africana (African savanna elephant). It matches the Rfam family "tRNA". Rfam says of the family: Transfer RNA (tRNA) molecules are approximately 80 nucleotides in length. Lineage: Eukaryota; Metazoa; Chordata; Mammalia; Proboscidea; Elephantidae. The record is from Rfam by way of RNAcentral.
GCCUUGGUGGUACAGUGGUAAAGCACUCAGUUGCUAACUGAAAGGUAGGUGGUUAGAACCCACCCAGUGGCU